UGCCUAAGAAUGCAGUCGAACGGACAGUAGCAUACUGUUAGUGGCGAACGGUCGCGUAACACGUGGGCAACCUGCCCUGAAGCGGGGGACAACAACUCGAAAGAGUUGCUAAUACCGCAUGUGAAUUGCUAUGGCAUCAUAGCGUAUUCAAAGCCGCAAGGCACUUCAGGAUGGGCCCGCGGCCUAUCAGCUAGUUGGUGAGGUAACGGCCCACCAAGGCUUCGACGGGUAGCUGGUCUGAGAGGACGAUCAGCCGGAUUGGGACUGAGAUACGGCCCAGACUCCUACGGGGGGCAGCAAUUAGGAAUCUUGCGCAAUGGGCGAAAGCCUGACGCAGCGACGUCGCGUGAAGGAUGAAAUCUUUCGGGAUGUAAACUUCUUUUACCAGGGAAGAAUAAUGACGGUACCUGGUGAAUAAGCCCCGGCUAACUACGUGCCAGCAGCCGCGGUAAUACGUAGGGGGCGAGCGUUGUCCGAAGUUACUGGGCGUAAAGAGCGCGUAGGCGGGUCCUUAAGUGAGGGGUGAAAGUCCGAGGCUCAACCUCGGAACUGCCUUUCAUACUGGGAACCUUGAGUGCGGGAGA
This 584-nucleotide ribosomal RNA is filed under the name uncultured Acidobacteriaceae bacterium. RNAcentral describes it as "bacterial SSU rRNA". It matches the Rfam family "Bacterial small subunit ribosomal RNA", at positions 45 to 655 of the family's 1533-position model. Lineage: Bacteria; Pseudomonadati; Acidobacteriota; Terriglobia; Terriglobales; Acidobacteriaceae. The record is from RNAcentral.